GUUAGAUGGUGUCAAGAAGCUGC
Molecule: non-coding RNA, 23 nt
Filed under: Arabidopsis thaliana (thale cress)
Lineage: Eukaryota; Viridiplantae; Streptophyta; Magnoliopsida; Brassicales; Brassicaceae
Source: RNAcentral